GGCCGGGGGAGGGCCGGCCGCCUGCGCAGGGGGUCCACGCCCGCGGGGUCGGGCGCAGUGUCCGGCGCGCGGCGACGUGGUGGGCAGAGCUGAGCCGGCCCGUGAAGGGAGCCCGGGCCGCCUGCCUCCCUGGCCCCGGCCCCGGCACUCCUGCCAGCUCGGCGCCGGCUUCCUGCACUUCAGCUUCCCCCAAACGCAGCUGAGCCUCCGCGCCCCCUCCCGCCCGGCCGAGCCGGGGAGCACUUCCAGGCCGAGACGCGCCCGAAGAAGGGGCUGCGGCGGAGGGGGCGGGGGAGCCGCACACCCUGAGCUCUGCUGGGGAGGAGGCCCAGUGGGCCACCAGGCCUCGUGUCCACCUCGGUUGGCAGCUGUGAGGAGGCCAGAGGAGGGCACUGCUGGUCCCCCAGCAGCCGAUGGGCACCCCACCCUCCACCCUUAUCCCACCUGCUUUCGAAAAUGUCUUCAGUCAUCUAGAAAAAGAAAAAUUACAGAGAAAGUCCGACUCCUGUUGUCUUCCUCAUCCAGCUGGAAGGCCACCUCCGCAGAUUCGUCAGGGAGGGGGCACGACCUGUUCAAGGCCACACACGGGUGGCGCAGCCCUGAUGCCUUCACCUCCCUCGGCCAAAAUGUCCUCUCCUGUAAGUGGGAGUGAGGAGGCCCUCCCUGCGGGCUGUGGCGGGGGGCAGCUCGGGCUGGCGCAGACAGGGGGGCUGUGGCUUACUGGCCGCCCUCUUCUCUGGACCUGGCACAGCCACAGGAGUGAUGUCCAGAGAACAGCCGUUGGCAUGCUUGGGGGAGGACCUGGAUUUGAGGAAAUACCUUCCCGUCUGUCGAGCCCUCAGGACCCUUAGUUUCACUGCGGCUCUCUCUGUCCUAUCGAGACCCCAGGAGCCGGGGGAUGGCUCCGUCCACACUUUCCCAGGAGAGGGCAGCAGCUCCCAAGCCUCUGGACAAGAACUCUGAGCUCUGAGACGCAGCAACACCCGCCCAGGACGUCACUGCCACCCCUGUGCUUGUGCCCCUUUCAGGAUAUUGGGGGGUUCUGAGCACCUACUAUGUGCUGGGCUUGGUGUUGGGUGCUUCUCGUGAUCCAUUUUGUUCUCAAGCCACCCAGUGAAGUGAGGAUUGUUUGCCUUGUUUUUAAAUGAAGGAGUCUGAGCUCUGGCACGCAGAUCUCCGUGAGUCCAAAUCUCGUGGGCGCUGCCUCCCAGUGGGUGACGGACCAGCCGACCAAGUCGGGGCGGGGGCUUGCCUCUACCACCACUUCUGUCCCUCAUGGGUGACCAGCCAUGACAACGCCAUGUGGCUGGGACCCUGUCUUCCCAGCACCCACGCCAGACCUGCAUGUGGUGGGCACCCCAGUGUCUUUUGGAUGAAUGACUCCCAGAGACCAAGAGCCAUGGGCCUUGGACCCAUCCCUGGCCCAGCGCUCUGGCCCCACCUCCUCAGAGACCCACUGAGGGCCCGACAUCUGGUGUUGGCUUCCGAAGGCUUCCAACUGUGCCACUUCCAACUCAUUACCGCUAAUGUUUGGGGACACCCUGCAUACGACAGAUGCUAUUAGAAACCCAGAUUCCGUUCUAUCAGGAAGCAAUGCUAAGAGAGCACAGAGCAGGUUAGGGAGGGGAAGAUUGAUGAGCCAAGGCCCCUGGAAGAUGAAUGAGGGACGUUCUCCUUGCCAGAUUAUUUUUAUUUAUUACACUUGCUUUUUGUUAAAGACACAGACACCCCGAUCUCUGCAGCCCAGCGCUGGAGGGAUGGGCGUGUCUCUCAAAGCUCAGAAGGGUGUGGGGGGCCGGGUUGGGGCGGGGGUCCGGUGGGUUUACAAGGCGUGACUCAGGUCAGCAAGCCUCUGGAAAGAGGAUCAAUCUCGGGACCCAGCUGUGGGGAGACGUCAGCUCCAUGCCUUGGCAGUGGAGCAGGGCUGGGUGUCCACCUGGUGGGCGCCCUUCCCAAUGGGGCUUGCCCCUAAACCAAGGAGUUGGGCAGGGCCGAGCCUUGAGAGAUUGGCCAGCGCAGCAGUUCUGGCCUGGGGUAGCCCUGCAGGAGCUCCUUGGCACCUUGUUUCUGGCCCUGAGAGGGCAAGGGUGGUAUUUGGGAGCAGUAGCAAAUGUACCGAGAGGCGUGAUGGCUGCGUCCUUGAGGAGCCCGCCGUUAGCAGGGACGUCAUUCAUUCACCCAUUCAGCAGAUGGUUCUGGACGGUCUCCUAUGCUCUGUUCUGGGCGCUGGCGAUCCAUCAAAGAAGAAAACGGAGUCUCUGCCUUCUAGACAAGUCAGUGGACACCGUGACCCCAGAGGGAAGUGCUGUGAGAGAGGGAUGUGCACAGAGGAGUGUCCCCCUGACCGUCAGGAGGCGUCAGAAGAGGCUUCUCAGAGGGCAAGUCCAGCGGGGCCUGAGCUCAGGAGGUUACCAGUCAGAGCGCGGGGAGGAGCAUUCCGGGGCAUGGGCCCGGCCGUGGCACUGUGAGGACAUCGUCCAGUGGAUUUGAGCUGAGGGACUGCGGGGGCAGGGGAAGGGAGAGGAGGCAGGAAAGACAGGCUGGGCCCCGCCCACUUGUGAAAAGCUUGGACUUCAUCCUGGAGACAAAGGAGUCAAGUCGCAGAGUCGUCAGAAGAGAGGGACUUUCCGCCCUGAGGCCCGGUUCAGACUGCCCAGGGAGGGUCCCUCCCUCCCACUCUGUCCCUGCCUCUGCCCUGAGGCGGGGGGCUCUGGCUCCACAUCCCAGGCGUUGGUGCAGAUGCUGCCACUCCAUCCACCCUCUGGAAGAGGAGGCAGGGCCUGGCCCGGCUGCAGCCACGUUGGCAGGGUCACUGCCCCAGUCCCUGGCCUGUCGCUCUGGCUCACCCCCACCCGCUCACUGCCCGUCCUCUAGCCUCCUCCUCUUCUGCUUCCCGGUUCCCUGGGUGAACUCUUCCGGGUCAGGCUUCUCUCCGCAGGCCUCUGCUGCUCCCCAGGGAGGAAGACCAGCUGCAGUUUUAGCCCCUUGCCCAUUGCCUGGCUGAGAGAGGGUUAAGGGCUACUUGUUGAAUUCCGAAGCCUGGAGGGUUCCGGAACAGCAGCCUGGGCAGCAGCAAUGAGCCCCUUAACCUGACCUCAAGAACUUGCUGGAUGGAGCAUUGCAGAGAGAAAGCAGCAGACAGCCUGGUGGUUGCCGGCCUCGCCUCCCUUCCCAGUUGUCGGGAGGAGCCAUGGAGAACACCAUGAAGACGAAGGGCGAACUGGACCUCACGUGCCCCGGACGCCUCUCGGCUGGACUCCUGGAUGGAGAAGCAGGCAAGCAGAGGCUCAGAGAGGUUAAGGGGCUUGCCCAAGGUCACACAGCCCAGGGAAAGGGCAGAGUGGAGCUGCACCCAGUUCCAUCCAUUUCAGUCUCCUCUCCUGCCAUUCUGCCUUUCUCAUCUUCAGCCUGACCCGAUCUGCAGACAAACAGUUGCGGAGGGUCCGGCGGGGCCGGGCUCAGGGAGCGGAGGGCUGACGUUCUGAGCUCGAAGGCCGCACCGUCCAAAACGGCCGCCAGGAACCACACACGGCUCUUUAAGUUUAAUUAAAAUGAAAUAAAAUUAAAAAUUUAGUUCGUUGGUCUCACUUGUCACAUUUUAAGUGCUCGAUGUCCACAUGUGGCUCGAUAUCCACAUGUUGGAUAACACAGAUAUAGGACGUUUCUGGCACCGCAGGCAGUUCCACUGGGCAGCAUUGUUCUAAGCCAUCAGCGAGUCUGCCCCGUCUCCUCCUGACCGUCCUGGUGGAGGGGGAGUCGCUGACACAGGUGACAGACACGCCUGCUCUGAGGCAGCUCCCUCUGCAGCCGAGGCACCUGUGAUGCCAUCCUGCCACUCUACUCACCAACCGAGGCCUCGCUACUCCAGGUGUGGUCCAGGACCGCAGCAUCAGCAGCUCCCGGCAGCUUGUUAGAGACACAGGAUCUUGGGCUUCAUGCCAGACCCACUGAACGUGAACCUGCACUUUAACGAGAUCCCCAGGUGACUCAGGUGCACAUUUCAAGUUUGAGAAGCUCUGACUUAAGAGACAGACUGAGCGGGAUCAAAAUAUUGCCCCAGAUAUAGGAAACCAAACCGAUAUUUUUAGAUACAAAAAAUCAGCAUCAGCACCCCUCUCCCCGCAGGAGUGUGUGAUUCAGCUUCAGUCGCAGUCGGUUGAGCAUCUCUGUGCCACGUGAUCAAUGAGCAUAUUUCCAAGGACAGACCCCCAGGGGGGUAGGUGGGAGGAGCUGGCCCAUUCCCCAUCUCCAGCAUCUUCUCAAACCACCAUGGGAUCACCUCCCCAAAGCAAAAGGAGCAGAACUGAGAUCCGCAUCUUGGCUCUCAGGGACGCUGCCUUUAAAUCAGAUUUUCUGUUUUUGCUUUUCCUUCCAAUGUAUUUGGUUUUUGAACUUUGCAAAUUGCCAAAGACACAAAGUGAUGCACAGAGCCAGUCUGAACAAACUCAGUCUCUUAACGGGAGGCAUCUGGAAAAGGACCAUGCCCGACCCCUUCCCGGGGGUGUGAUGCUCCUCGGGCCUCAGUGCUGGGAGCCAGGUGCUAACGAAGGUUUCUGGGCAGGAAGCAGCAGCAAGCCCAUCUGUGAAGAAAACAGGUGCAAAAGGUGGUUUCAUCCUCGGGGAGGGCAAAGACGAGGCUCAAAAUGAGACUGGCAGACGCCGAGCCCGGCUGGGGAAGGACGUGCCACUUCAGGCCCGGUCCCCUGAGCUUGGAUUCAGCAGCUCCUCCUUCGGGAGGGUGACUCAUCUCUUAAUUCCUCUCUCCUCUCAGCCUACCUUGGGUUUUACUUAUUUUUAUCCUUGGAAUGGAGUGAAGUUGCCAAAAGGAUAUUGUUCCACCUGCAAGGGCCCUCCUGGAGGAUGAAUUUUCAAAUAUUCAUUUCUACAACUUGCUCGCAGCAAUAACGCAGAAGACAAGAGCGCCUGGGGAGGAGAGGGGGACAGCGACAUGGGUCCCGGGGGGAGCCUGGGGCCUUGGGGAACUGAGAAGUGGGCUUUGCAAUGGAGAGACAUUCCAGGACUUGACUCUCAGGAGUUAGACAAGAGGAAUAAGGGGAAUGCUCAGUACGCUUUCAAAAUUCUCUUUAUAAUGCUGAAAAAAUCAAAGCCAAACCUGCAGAGCUCCUGCUGUUUUUGCCUGGCCAGCUGGCAGCUUCAUUAUUUUGGUGGCAAACUUCAUGGUUUCUCGAGGGAAGAGCCCGUUGCCCACUGCACGGGGCCUUGGUGGCUCCGUCAGUCACGAUGUCCUGCUCUCCACUUGGCUGGGGAGCACGUGACCCAGGCCAGGCCAAUUGGAAGCUCUCUUCCUCCAAGGGAGACACAGCAGGACGGGGAAUCGUUUGGACUCUCCCGUCCUGAUGGCCUGCCUGGAUCCCUGGGCAAAGCCUCUUCCUAGUCUUUCUUGAGGUCUGGCUGUCUAUUCUUCUAAGAGUGCAUGAAUCACCCCAAGGCAUUUCAAUACAGGGUUUUUUUUUUUUUGCUUAAGUUGGACAGAGUUGGUUUCUCUUAUUUGUACUUAAGAACCCAAACUGACACAAACACAAAUGCCCAGCAACAGGGGCUCGGAUCCAGAAAGCAUGAUACAGCACACGAUGGAAUACUACACAGCCAGGUACAGUAAGGAGGUAAAUGUAUAUUUGCUGACAUGGAAAGAUGUUUACAGAAUACAGUCAAGAGCAAAAGCAGAUUAUAAUAAAACAGUAUGCACAGUAUACCAUGUUUGCAAAAUAGAUUCUGUACAUUCAUAGAAAAA
Equus caballus (horse) is the source of this 5752-nucleotide non-coding RNA. The record is from RefSeq and is a predicted model, not a curated record. Lineage: Eukaryota; Metazoa; Chordata; Mammalia; Perissodactyla; Equidae.